This 269-nucleotide ribosomal RNA is filed under the name uncultured bacterium. RNAcentral's name for it is "partial 16S ribosomal RNA". It matches the Rfam family "Bacterial small subunit ribosomal RNA", at positions 525 to 793 of the family's 1533-position model. The record is from RNAcentral.
ACGGAGGGUGCGAGCGUUAAUCGGAAUUACUGGGCGUAAAGCGCAUGCAGGCGGCCUGUUAAGUCAGAUGUGAAAGCCCGGGGCUUAACCUCGGAAUUGCAUUUGAAACUGGCAGGCUAGAGUCUUGUAGAGGGGGUAGAAUUUCAGGUGUAGCGGUGAAAAUGCGUAGAGAUCUGAAGGAAUACCAGUGGCGAAGGCGGCCCCCUGGACAAAGACUGACGCUCAGAUGCGAAAGCGUGGGGAGCAAACAGGAUUAGAUACCCUGGUAG